GUAGGUUACGGGGACAUUUACCCUAAGACUGUGUUGGGCAAAGUUGUGGGCAGUGUUUGUUGUAUCUGCGGCGUGCUCGUCAUUGCCCUUCCAAUCCCCAUCAUUGUCAACAAU
Molecule: non-coding RNA, 114 nt
Organism: Biomphalaria glabrata
Lineage: Eukaryota; Metazoa; Mollusca; Gastropoda; Planorbidae
Source: Rfam